UGCGCGUGCUAUACAUGCAAGUCGAGCGGACCGACGGGAGCUUGCUCCCUUAGGUCAGCGGCGGACGGGUGAGUAACACGUGGGUAACCUGCCUGUAAGACUGGGAUAACUCCGGGAAACCGGGGCUAAUACCGGAUGCUUGAUUGAACCGCAUGGUUCAAUCAUAAAAGGUGGCUUUUAGCUACCACUUGCAGAUGGACCCGCGGCGCAUUAGCUAGUUGGUGAGGUAACGGCUCACCAAGGCGACGAUGCGUAGCCGACCUGAGAGGGUGAUCGGCCACACUGGGACUGAGACACGGCCCAGACUCCUACGGGAGGCAGCAGUAGGGAAUCUUCCGCAAUGGACGAAAGUCUGACGGAGCAACGCCGCGUGAGUGAUGAAGGUUUUCGGAUCGUAAAACUCUGUUGUUAGGGAAGAACAAGUACCGUUCGAAUAGGGCGGUACCUUGACGGUACCUAACCAGAAAGCCACGGCUAACUACGUGCCAGCAGCCGCGGUAAUACGUAGGUGGCAAGCGUUGUCCGGAAUUAUUGGGCGUAAAGCGCGCGCAGGCGGUUUCUUAAGUCUGAUGUGAAAGCCCCCGGCUCAACCGGGGAGGGUCAUUGGAAACUGGGGAACUUGAGUGCAGAAGAGGAGAGUGGAAUUCCACGUGUAGCGGUGAAAUGCGUAGAGAUGUGGAGGAACACCAGUGGCGAAGGCGACUCUCUGGUCUGUAACUGACGCUGAGGCGCGAAAGCGUGGGGAGCGAACAGGAUUAGAUACCCUGGUAGUCCACGCCGUAAACGAUGAGUGCUAAGUGUUAGAGGGUUUCCGCCCUUUAGUGCUGCAGCAAACGCAUUAAGCACUCCGCCUGGGGAGUACGGUCGCAAGACUGAAACUCAAAGGAAUUGACGGGGGCCCGCACAA
This 907-nucleotide ribosomal RNA is filed under the name Bacillus sp. HTS126. RNAcentral describes it as "bacterial SSU rRNA". It matches the Rfam family "Bacterial small subunit ribosomal RNA", at positions 38 to 928 of the family's 1533-position model. Lineage: Bacteria; Bacillati; Bacillota; Bacilli; Caryophanales; Bacillaceae. The record is from RNAcentral.